Long non-coding RNA from Myiozetetes cayanensis, 5679 nucleotides. RefSeq lists it as uncharacterized. Lineage: Eukaryota; Metazoa; Chordata; Aves; Passeriformes; Tyrannidae. The record is from RefSeq and is a predicted model, not a curated record. The transcript is spliced from 7 exons.
CUGAAGAAACCAUCUUCCCUAGGGCUGAGAUUCAGUUCAGACACGAGCUUGCUCCGUAGAGGUCUUUUCCUGAAAAGACACUGCCAACUGAGUCGUAAGCCCUGGAAACAUUUCUGCCUGCAUCGAUAGCAAAGCGUGAAGUAUGUACCAGGGGGAUGUUGAGGAUUUAGCCUUCUGUGCCAUUCCUCCCUCGGCUCUCAUAAGCAAAGCAAACAAAUUCUUUGUGUCUUAGAAGACUCGGGUAAUUCAGCCAACUUGAGUCGUUUCCUCGCAGGCCUGGCUUUUCACCUGGGGGACGAGGUUUGCUGAUCCUACCCAGGUUAAAAUGACUGAAAAUCAAUGUGGUUUGACAGCUGUGGGAAAAAAAUAAAUAAAUGGAUGUACAAACUGUUGAGCAACAAAGGCUCUUCAAGUGGAUACAAAGUGAGGCACAAAAGGAAACUGUUGUCUGUGAUCUUCCUUACAGGCUCUUCGUUCAUGGCGGUCUGGCCAGUCCCAGCCCCGUCUGAUGGGGUUGGUCUGACACUUCCAUAGUGCUUUCCACUUCCUCACAUGCUCUGCUCAGGAAGAAGACACAGGCAGUGCCUUCACCUCUCCCCUGUCCUUGGGUGGCUGAGCCGGGAACGCCAAACAGAAGAACUGUUCCUUGAGGAUAAAUCUUCAUUUCUCUCAUGUGAAGAACUAUGCCGAGAUCUGCCCGUGGAAAAUUACAUUCUAGAAGCAAGAAUCACAAAGGACCUUUGCUUUCAGACUUUUCUUCAAGAGGUCCACAGCAUAAUGAGCAGAAUGGAAUGAAGUGUAUUAACCUUUGAAAGAUGAAAGGAAAGUUGUAUAUCAAGACACAACAAUUUGCAAAGUUUUCAAGUAUUCAAGUAACAAAGGGCAUGCAAACUAUCCUAUGGGUAAAUGAUCCUCGCUGAGGAAACAAAGUUAUGUCCUCGUGGUGAAUGGCCACAGAAAGGUUCUUCCCAACCAGAGGCUGAUGACACAUCCUACCCUGUCCUUCAGGAUUUGGUGAAGACUUUGCUGUAAACAGGCAUGAAAGGACAAGGAAUAAUCAGACAAGAACAAAAUAGAAAGCAAACAUAAGAAGUCUUUGCUUUAAUGAAAGCAUGUUGUGAUAGGCUGAUCAGAAAACUCCUCUGGGGUUCAACUGCAUGUGCCCUGGGAUUGAAGAAGGACCAGCACUGCAACAGAGAAGUAUUAAAAUUUCCUCCUCCGCAAGGCAGGAAGAGCAGACACAGCCCUGGACUUCCUCUCCCAGAUCCUUCCUGACCAGGGUGCCCUGCUCCAAGGGAGGAGCCGUGACCUUCAAAGGCCGUGUCUUGGCACAUCAGGACAUACUCGUGUGCACAGCACACGCUCGUUGUUCUGGUGCAAAACAGAAUAUCAGCCAUUAACUUCUGCAGCUAAUUACUGGAUUUCACAACCAACUCUUCAGAAACAGCUACAAGAAUUUGGUUAAACCUUUCUACUGAGCUCUGGGUAAGGGUUUCCAUGCAGCAAGAGAAGAAUCACUGUAUAAAUCACAGUUUCUUCUCUUCAGGAAAGCAAGGAAUCCUCAGCUCAUCUGUAUCAGCUCACCUAUAGCAGCAAGCAAGGUGACAGAGCUGGGACUUAUUCCUUGGCAUGGGAUGUUUGUUUGUCAGGCCAGGAGUUGGGAACUCAUAUCUGCCUGUACAUAAGAUUUGUACUCCCUUGCAUGGCUAAAGCAAGUUAAAAACCAUCCUGGCUCAUACUUGUGGAAAUUCCAUGGUGGUGGUGGCUUGAAAAGUGGGGUACUAAUUAGAAACCAGUUCUUGUUACAGUGACAAAUGUGAAGAGACCUUAAAGCAAAAUUACGGGAAAAGUGGUGUAGGUUGGACCGUGAAAGAAUCACUAGAAAUAGUUUCUGCCUAUCAAGGUAGUGCAAUCCACUGAAAACCUCAUGUUUGCACUGAUAAUUAAUUCCUUGACUCCCCAUUUCCAGAGUGAAUCUAUAAAAAAACCCUGCUCACACUUCUCCCCUACCACAUCACAUUUCAAAUCUAUACAGCUUUAGCAGAGCUAGUUCAAAGCAGAAACCCAAGGACAAUACCAAAGAGCUGCUGUUUCCUGCAAGUCUUCUGCCUACUCAUGAUGCACCAAUUUAUGAAGCUGACAAAACUCACCAGUAAAACGUGAAGACCAUGAAAGUGUAAUGUGUAAUACCCAGCAAAACAAAACGACUCUUUUAUCUCUGACUAUUUGGUUUAACGACCGUAGCAAGGGUGUACACAAAUUUUCAGAAAUAUACUUAAUGCAUAUGCCUCUCCACUAAGGGCUGGCAGAACUGAGGUGGCAUCCAGAACCUCUGAUGUCCUCAGAACUGAAUGUUCUGCUUCUCAGGUGAUAAACUGUCCAUUAAUGUGGUGAUAGAAAUUGAGUGUCAUAUUUAAUGAGAAAACAAUUCCUAGGACACUUACCUGUUACCUUUCCAGCGUGUGAAAACUGGUUCCUUUGUAUUGUUUUAUUGUCUGUGCUCCUGCCAAGUGUGUAAGAUGGCACCAAGUGACCCCAAACAAACUUGAAGUACACAGGGAGAGGAUUAAUCAGUCAGGCACUUAGGCAUAAGCUUCAUGUUAAGCAUGCAACAUAAUGUUGUUAAAGUGAAUGUAGUGGUAUUAUUUGUAUGUUUAAAGUUAACCACUGAACUUAUCUGUUGUACUAUAUCAGUGCCUAAUAGCUUGUGCACUUACUUGCAAAUUUAAGAUACUUAAUGUGUUUAUUCUGGACUCUUCCUGUUGUUGUGCAUGUGAAAUUGUUGCCCUCAACCAAGCAGGGUAGCACAGCCCUACAGCAGCAGUGCAGGCCAGCUCUUCCUCAGCCACGGACAGAGUGACAGUAGGGAGCUGGAUGUGGGCAGGGAAAUGCUCACAGCAGCUCUGCAGCAGCUCUCCAGCAGCAGAUCAGGUUUUUCAGAGCCCUCAAGCAAAGGUACUUAGUUCUGUCAUUGUGGUUUCUCUGCUGCUGUUCAGAGACAGAAGAGCUGAGCUCUGGUCAUUCUUCACUCAUGGAUGUUCUCCAUUUGUGCCAGCCCUCUCACCUCAUCCAUAGUCUAUUUUGCUGUCACAACUCUUCUUCUCUGUGCAUGCAGAGGUCAUGGACCCCAAGACCUAGAAACAUGAAAUCUCCAUGUAAGAGUGGCAUGUGAGCUGGACCACCCCACCUGGCUCCUGCUUGGUUUGUAUGGAAGGAUGAUCUGGGGAGAUUUAGGCAAUAAACCAAUAUUGCCACCCACUAAUAACCAAAAAAUAAAUGUUCCUGAGUGAUGUACUCAGCACCUUCUAUUCUCACCGAAGUAAGUAGUUCCUUUGGGACUACUUUCAUGUGUCUUUAGGGAACGUAACCAAAUUAUACCACAUGAGAGCCGGUAAUUUUAAUGUUAUGCUCUAAGGGGAAAACUAUAAACAUAACAGGAAAGACUGGAUGUUUUCCAUUCAUAAUUUUAGAAAGGUUUCUUCUCAUCUGUACAUAUUAGCUUUUCAACAUCUCUGGCAAGAUUUAAAUGAAUUAUUUAACUGGAACUGAAAAGCAGGUCUUACUUUUAAAUUAAGGUGAUAAAAGCUGUUGUAUUUUUUUAAUUUUUAAAAUAUUACUGUAGAAGAUAAAGAUCAAAACCAGACCCAAGAAGCGAUAAGGCCAAGAAAAUACCCAGCCUAUAACCUCCUGGCAGGAGCUGGAAUAAUUUGGAGAAAUGACUGGCUGCGAUCCGAAGCACGGUCAGUAGAGAUUGGAGAAUCCAGAGGUUUUAAUCGGAAGCAUUUCCAUGUUGUGUCAGUCUUUUGUGACCGGGAGUGCAGGGUGUGUGGAGCUGGGAGUGGUGCAAGGCCGUGUCAAGGAGCUCCUGCUGCAAGAGGCACGCCAAGUUUUGUGCAAAACACGGAGGAAAGCUGAGAAAAGGCCUUGUGAAGAAAGAUCAGCUUGAAAUUUCGGUUCCUUCUCCUCCAUCAGUAGGAAAUGUGUAAGGUAUGGUGAGCCAGGACCCAGCAGGAGAUUUUUGGUUCAGAAACCAAAACUGGUCUGGGAGAAGCACUCAGGCAGUCAGGUGAGUAGGGAUUUGGCCAGUGUGAAAACAGGGAUGUUUUUACAAGCUAAACUGACCCCCUGGAGGGCAGCAAGCGUGGUGUGUCUUGUAUGAGAGGUGGUAGCACCCACUCCCUGCUCCACACAGCUGAAAACUCCUGUUUCCUUGGAUGAGGGAUCUACUUUACUGGAAAAGUCAAUCAUCUGAAUUAUAGACCAGGAGAGUUUUUAUCCCCACAUCCACCAUCCCCCAAAAAACCUCUCCCCAGUAUUUCCAUGCUUCCCCUUUUGCCAUUAAGAUGAGAUUUUCCCCUGCAACUGAACAGUAAGUGCUUCAUAAACAGUUCCUCCGUCUGCAAGUGGACCUUGAAAAUUGAUUAUUUUUUGUUUGUUUCUUUUAGUCUCCAAAUGUUUCUGCCAUUAUAAGGCAGGCAGUUAUUUUGCCAGGAAGGAAUGUGAAGAAUUAGAAAAGUUGAAAGCGAUUAGGACUCUUGUCUUUUAAGACAGAGCCUUUCACAAAGCCUGGCAUUCAGCCUGCUCAGAGUGAGCAUCAUAAGACACCCUGAAGCCUUGAAAUCCCUCAGUUUCAAACCCCAUGGGGUGGCUUUUGCAUUAUCAGGGAAGAGAUGAUAUUGCAGAGACUAUUUUCUUCAUAUUUUAAAGGCCUCUGAGUUAAUAUUUAUUCUAAGUAGAUGUUUAUUUUUGGGUACUUUUAUUGUUUAUAGGAAGGCCACAAAGAGUUCAAUGUUAUGGAGAAAUGGUUACUUUGUAUUUAUGGUUGAAGAAAAAUAAGAAGAAAAAAAAAAAGAAAGUUCCAAACAAUCCUGCCCCAGUUCUUUAUUUCAGGAGACAAUGUACUUUCCACCCAUGCACAGGCAGUGCUUUACAGGCUGUAUAAUAAAAUGCUGUUCCAGAUAUUGUCUAAAUAGAAACAGAUUUAACCCUGCUGUUGUGACUUGCAUUGCUGGGUAAUGAAAGUUUUCAAUCUGGUUUUACUUUGUUUUAUGCUUGCUGGAGAACUGCACAUCCAAAAAAUCCUGCCUCGUGCACAGAGACCUGUUGUUCCAAUGCCAUCUGUUUGUAUAUAAAAGGUGAACAUCCCCACAAACAAACAAACAAACAAAAAAAACCCCUAGGAUUUGGACUUUUCUGGUAGGCAAUGAAUUGCAAUUCAAACCCAAGAAUUUCUAACCCUAAAAUACUUUGAGAAAGAGUCAAAUCAUCUACCUAUGCAGUCAUUCACUAAUGGCAUACUCAAAACUGCUGAAAAGACUCUUUAAUUUAAGUUGACUGUGAAAAUUACCCAUUGCUGUGUUACCUAAAGCAACCUCCAAGUGUUUCUCCAUAGGGGAAAAGCCCUGUGAUAAGAGAUAGUCCCUGAAGAUCUGAGAACAAAAGAUGGGCUGCAGCAUCUGCAUAUCAGGAAACGGUCCAUUACUCAUUAAUUGCUCCAUUUCCGUGCAUCAACGGGGGUCACCCUGUCACUGAGGACCAGCAAGAUUAUAACAAUAAUAUAAAUACUGCUUUAUUUACAAUUUUACAAGAAAACAACUUUCCAUGUUUGUUAUUAUAUAGAGACUGUUGGUUUGGUUUUUUUUUUCCAAGUUUCCACAAAUAAAACACUCUCAGAGGACA